UACAGAGGGGGCUAGCGUUGUUCGGAAUUACUGGGCGUAAAGGGCGCGUAGGUGGCCUGUUAAGUCGAACGUGAAAUCCCCGGGCUCAACCCGGGAACUGCGUCCGAGACUGGCAGGCUCGAAUCCGGGAGAGGGAUGUGGAAUUCCAGGUGUAGCGGUGAAAUGCGUAGAGAUCGGGUGGAACACCAGCGGCGAAGGCGGCAUCCUGGCCCUGUACUGACGCUGAGGCGCGAUAGCGUGGGGAGCAAACGGG
Molecule: ribosomal RNA, 253 nt
Filed under: uncultured bacterium
Lineage: Bacteria
Description: partial 16S ribosomal RNA
Rfam family: Bacterial small subunit ribosomal RNA
Source: RNAcentral